Molecule: ribosomal RNA, 506 nt
Filed under: uncultured bacterium
Lineage: Bacteria
Description: partial 16S ribosomal RNA
Rfam family: Bacterial small subunit ribosomal RNA
Source: RNAcentral
GACGAACGCUGGCGGCGUGCUUAACACAUGCAAGUCGAACGGUGAAGGGACUGGUUUUGCUGGUCCUGGAUGAGUGGCGAACGGGUGAGUAACACGUGAGUAACCUGCCCCCUUCUUCUGGAUAACCGCAUGAAAGUGUGGCUAAUACGGGAUAUUCUGGGUCUGUCGCAUGGUGGGCCUGGGAAAGAUUGCGCCUUUUUUGGUGUUUUUGGUGGGGGAUGGGCUCGCGGCCUGUCAGCUUGUUGGGGGGGUGAUGGCCUACCAAGGCGGUGACGGGGAGCCGGCCUGAGGGGGUGGACGGUCACACUGGGACUGAGACACGGCCCAGACUCCUACGGGAGGCAGCAGUGGGGAAUAUUGCACAAUGGGCGCAAGCCUGAUGCAGCGACGCCGCGUGAGGGAUGGAGGCCUUCGGGUUGUGAACCUCUUUCGCCAGUGAAGCAGGCCUGCCUCUUUUUGUGGGUGGGUUGACGGUAGCUGGAUAAGAAGCGCCGGCUAACUACGUG